Molecule: ribosomal RNA, 258 nt
Filed under: uncultured bacterium
Lineage: Bacteria
Description: partial 16S ribosomal RNA
Rfam family: Bacterial small subunit ribosomal RNA
Source: RNAcentral
UACGGAGGGUGCGAGCGUUGUCCGGAAUCAUUGGGCGUAAAGGGCGCGUAGGUGGCCACUUCAAGCGUGCGGUGAAAGUCGGGGGCUCAACCCCUGAUCGGCCGUGCGAACUGGGGGGCUGGAGCACUGUAGAGGCAGGCGGAAUUCCGGGUGUGAGCGGUGGAAUGCGUAGAGAGUCCGGAAGAACACCGGUGGCGAAGGCGGCCUGCUGGGCAGUUUUGCUGACACUGAGGCGCGACAGCGUGGGGAGCAAACAGG